AAGUCGUAACAAGGUUUCCGUAGGUGAACCUGCGGAAGGAUCAUUAAUGAGUUCGGGGGCCUAGCUCCCAGCGGCGAGUGUCGUUCGAGUCUUCCGGGGCUCGGCCGGCGUUCGUCGUGUUUCUCAACCCCAUGUUUACCAUACCUUUGUUGCUUUGGCGGGCCUUGAGUAGGCUAUACGGCUCAUGCCGGCCCCAGGCUUCAUUGCCUGGGGGCGGCUCGCGCCCGCCAGAGGUUUAUUCAAACCCUAUUUAUCAGUGAUGUCUGAGCAAAUAUUAAAAUAAUCAAAACUUUCAACAAC
Molecule: unclassified non-coding RNA, 300 nt
Filed under: Cladonia sp.
Lineage: Eukaryota; Fungi; Ascomycota; Lecanoromycetes; Lecanorales; Cladoniaceae
Description: partial contains small subunit ribosomal RNA and internal transcribed spacer 1
Rfam family: Eukaryotic small subunit ribosomal RNA (bases 1-46)
Source: RNAcentral